AGAAUAAUAGGUUAGUGUUGAUUAUAGAUCAGGUUUAUCAUGCGAGGCUUAGAAAACAAAAAGCACGAGCCUUGGCGAGUGCUUUUUCGUUUUCGUGCCGAGCAUGAUAAACCUGAUCUAUAAUCAACACUGACCUAUUAUUCUAUUUAUCCCACUUUUUAUUCAGUAAACUUUUUUUAUUUAAACAAAAUAAGUUUUCACGAGUGUUUGUCGUACUUUGAUAAUGACUGUAGUGUAACCAAGGUCAGUGUAUUACUCCGCGUUCCAAAAAUAACCGCUGAUCAAAUAAUCAUUUUUUUAAAUCAGAAUAUCGUUCUGUAACAAAGUGUCGAGCGUUAUUAAUUACAAUUUUAAUCAUAUUGAAUUGCAAAUCUUUAAGUUUUAUGAUAUCAAUAUGACAUUAAGUUGUUAUAUACAAGGAACUACAUUUGUUUACAACGUAGCCUAACACCACACACAAUUCACUUUCGAUAUCAAACUAUCGAGUCGAUCCCGAGGUGCACAUUAUUUGCUUCUUUGUUAUAAUAUGUGGUUAUUUCGUGACGAAAUAACAAAGAUUACUUGGAUUUAAGCUAAUUAUAUACAUUAACAUUUUGAAUGUUGAAAGUGGCACCAAAGAAUUGUGAGGCAAAGUUGUUCGAACGCUGGUGAACCGUGAAGUGACUGGGUGGGGCGAACAUCAAGAUCAACUUGUUCGACGGUAGACAGUGGUUGUCUAGGCUGCAUUUCGGCCAUAGUUUCGGUGCAUGAAGGUGUACAAGAGGAACUGUUGGAUUGUUACAUUUACUGGACUGAGCAAGAAUGAACACUUUUGCAGCUGUUCAACAGAUAUGUUGGAAUAAUUGGUUAAGGACUGGACAUUUUUGUGCCCUGUUAUUGCCAUGGUUUCAGUGGGUGGAUAUUUGUAUUUCGAAAUUUUUGGACCAGGAAUUUGCGAACUGAGUGGUUCGUUAUUCUCUUGUGCUUGAGAAAGCCGGAGUCUUUUGCCAUGGCCUUCAGCAUCUGACCUAACUUGUUGACACCCAAUUGUUGACGCAAGAAUCACCGGGAUGCAGUGUCAUUUGUGCGUAUUGCCAGGUUGAAAAGAUGCUUUGAAGAAAAAUCAGAUGGAUGCAUAUCCGAGUACAGCUUGUAAAUUAACACAGGAUUUCUUGGUCCAGACGAUUGUUUUCUACGGUCAAAGGGGAGCAACUCGCACUGACUUCUUCAAAGGGGAGCAACAACAACAGAACCUAUUUGCAUAGUGUUAAAUGUACCUAUUACUUGAGGUUUUAAUAAAAAUAAAUGACAAAAAAAAACACGUUUUUUUGCUACUUUCCUUUGUUUUAAGGUCAUUAAGAUUGACAAACAUUUGAGAUUGUUUUUAUUAUUGAUGCACUUGGCAAACACAGGUGACGAGUUGCGUGGGAAAAAGUAGUCCCGGUUCGGCAGUUGAUGACGUCAUUUCGUGCCAUUGAUUAUAGCCUUGCCGUUGAUUACAGAUGAAAUUUAAUAAACGGGGCUUUAAUCAACCGAUUUCGCUGUUAAAGUGGGAUAAAAUGGAGAUAACUUUUUCAUGUCCGUUAUUUAUUGGUGGAUACACAACCCUUUGUUGUUCUGGUGUGUGUCUGGAAAACACUUGGACUACCGUCCUGAUGUAAAGAGGAAUCUAUUUCUCAAUGAAAAUCGUGUCGAAUACUUUACAUUUGGUAGAUCAUCUGGUGGUUCACAUUUUCAGCGACUGAAAGUGCUCAGCUUUGACAACAUGAAAGACGCGUGUUAUGUGUCUAAAAUCGACCAAGACGACAAUGAUCUGAACGUAACAGUUCAGAUGGCGUACCCGUCUAAUACUGUGAUGUACGUGGCCGGGAACCAGUCAUUUGAACCGGAAAUACUGUCCGGUUUCCUGCAGGGAGUCUGUAAAACAGCUUACUGGAUGCAGGUGAAUCUAAAAGGCAAAGGAUCACUGACUGCGCGUGCCAAUCGGAGCUGUGGUAACUCGUGCAUGAUGGUAUGUACAUCUAUUUAACUCGCUCUGUGAUAAUGAUAAACUAGUGUUUGUACUUUCAAAUGAAAACAUGGUAAAAGUCAGUGCCAAGACCUGCCAAAUGAUCUUAACUACACGAACACAACUCUUGUAUAAAUAGCAUUUUAAGCCUUCUCUUAACUUUUAGCAAGACCUAUGUUUUAUCAGAUUUUAGUGAUGCUCACAUAUAAAUUUGUAAAUUAUCUGUUAAUGAGUUCAAUUAAAAAAAUCCUAUAUAUAAUG
Dreissena polymorpha is the source of this 2248-nucleotide long non-coding RNA. RefSeq lists it as uncharacterized. The transcript has 3 exons. Lineage: Eukaryota; Metazoa; Mollusca; Bivalvia; Myida; Dreissenidae. The record is from RefSeq and is a predicted model, not a curated record.